UACGAAGGGGGCUAGCGUUGUUCGGAAUUACUGGGCGUAAAGCGCGCGCAGGCGGCUAUCCAAGUCAGUGGUGAAAGCCCGGAGCUCAACUCCGGAACUGCCAUUGAAACUGUUUAGCUGGAGUAUGAGAGAGGUGAGUGGAAUUCCCAGUGUAGAGGUGAAAUUCGUAGAUAUCGGGAGGAACACCGGUGGCGAAGGCGGCGACCUGGGUAGAUACUGACGCUGAGGUGCGAAAGCGUGGGGAGCAAACAGG
Molecule: ribosomal RNA, 253 nt
Filed under: uncultured bacterium
Lineage: Bacteria
Description: partial 16S ribosomal RNA
Rfam family: Bacterial small subunit ribosomal RNA
Source: RNAcentral